Molecule: ribosomal RNA, 274 nt
Filed under: uncultured bacterium
Lineage: Bacteria
Description: partial 16S ribosomal RNA
Rfam family: Bacterial small subunit ribosomal RNA
Source: RNAcentral
AUACGGAGGAUCCAAGCGUUAUCCGGAUUUAUUGGGUUUAAAGGGUGCGCAGGCGGCCUUAUAAGUCAGUGGUGAAAUCUCCCGGCUCAACCGGGAAACUGCCAUUGAUACUGUAAGGCUAGAAUACAGACGAGGUAGGCGGAAUGUAGCAUGUAGCGGUGAAAUGCUUAGAUAUGCUACAGAACACCGAUCGCGAAGGCAGCUUACCAGACUGUAAUUGACGCUAAGGCACGAAAGCGUGGGGAGCGAACAGGAUUAGAAACCCUAGUAGUCC